RNAcentral lists this ribosomal RNA (355 nucleotides) under uncultured bacterium. RNAcentral's name for it is "bacterial SSU rRNA". It matches the Rfam family "Bacterial small subunit ribosomal RNA", at positions 28 to 363 of the family's 1533-position model. The record is from RNAcentral.
GAUGAACGCUGGCGGCGUGCUUAACACAUGCAAGUCGAGCGAAGCACUUAUGAAAGAUUCUUCGGAUGAUUUCAUUUGUGACUGAGCGGCGGACGGGUGAGUAACGCGUGGGUAACCUGCCUCAUACAGGGGGGAUAACAGUUGGAAACGACUGCUAAUACCGCAUAAGCGCACAGUACCGCAUGGUACAGUGUGAAAAACUCCGGUGGUAUGAGAUGGACCCGCGUCUGAUUAGCUAGUUGGUGGGGUAACGGCCUACCAAGGCGACGAUCAGUAGCCGACCUGAGAGGGUGACCGGCCACGAUUGGGACUGAGACACGGCCCAAACUCCUACGGGAGGCAGCAGUGGGGAAUA